RNAcentral lists this ribosomal RNA (446 nucleotides) under uncultured bacterium. Its description in RNAcentral is "bacterial SSU rRNA". It matches the Rfam family "Bacterial small subunit ribosomal RNA", at positions 331 to 794 of the family's 1533-position model. The record is from RNAcentral.
CCAGACUCCUACGGGAGGCAGCAGUGGGGAAUAUUGGGCAAUGGGGGAAACCCUGACCCAGCGACGCCGCGUGAGGGAAGAAGGUUUUCGGAUUGUAAACCUCUGUCCUUGGUGACGAUAAUGACGGUAGCCAAGGAGGAAGCCACGGCUAACUACGUGCCAGCAGCCGCGGUAAUACGUAGGGGGCAAGCGUUAUCCGGAUUUACUGGGUGUAAAAGGAGCGUAGACGGCUGCGCAAGUCAGAAGUGAAAGCCCGGGGCUCAACCGCGGGACUGCUUUUGAAACUGUGUAGCUAGAGUGCAGGAGAGGUAAGUGGAAUUCCUAGUGUAGCGGUGAAAUGCGUAGAUAUUAGGAGGAACACCGGUGGCGAAGGCGGCUUACUGGACUGUAACUGACGUUGAGGCUCGAAAGCGUGGGGAGCAAACAGGAUUAGAUACCCCAGUAGC